Molecule: long non-coding RNA, 5161 nt
Filed under: Anolis carolinensis (green anole)
Lineage: Eukaryota; Metazoa; Chordata; Lepidosauria; Squamata; Anolidae
Description: lncRNA (ENSACAG00000045340.1)
Source: RNAcentral
AUGCCAUGCAGCAUGGACAGCAGUGUAGAACUGCAUCUGCAGUAUAUAAUCAUUCCAUUAACUUCUCUAUGGUUAUUGUGUUUUUUUCCAGGUCCACCAGGAUUUGGUCGUCCCGGACCUCCAGGACUCCCAGGACUAUCAGGUCAAAAGGGUGAAUUAGGGUUGCCUGGGCCCCCAGGUUCACCGGGCCCCACUGGUCUGAAGGGGGAGAUGGGUCCCCAAGGGUUUCCUGGUCUACAAGGUCCAUCUGGCCCCCCAGGACUCCCAGGGCCAGCUUCAGAAGGACCAAAGGGCAGCCCUGGACCGCCGGGCAUGCCAGGGAGGCCAGGUAAGAUUGAGGAAGAUAAGACCGCAGAACCUUUUGCUGACAGGUUAUUGGUCUGUUGGAUUAGACAACUUCUGAUAAGUCCUGUAGUUACUAAUGCUGGAAGGCAUUAACUUGAUGUCUUCUGGCUAUCCAAAAUUCGUCAUGAAAGGUUAUCUCUUGAUAGCAAUGUCAAGAGAGAUCAAGAAAACCACACCCAUUCAAUAACCUGACAGCAAAACUUCGCCAACUUGAGAUGUCCUCCGCAUGUCAUCACGGCAUUCAUCCAGCCGAGCACCCAAUCAACUUUAAUAGCAUCUGCCAAAUGUGCCUGUACCAUGACGCCACAUGAUAAACCAAUCCAUCUUGUGCACCAAAUGUCAUAAUAAUAAUACUACACUGCCCGCAGGACCCAUUGAAAUCAAACCCAUGUUAGCAGCACAGCAUGACCAGAUUGUACCAUGGUUCCUCUUCAUCUUUGCGUCGCGUGUGUUCAUCCUUGCUCCGUCAUCUGCCACAGCUCCGAUGGAUCCAGUGCACCACGUCACCUUCACCCUUCCAUCCUUGUCAUCUUUGCUUCUCCUCUGUCUACUAAUUCAUGGGAGUGAUGGUUUCCAUAAUGGGUGAACACCACUGAGCUGCUAUUGGGUUUCUAGUACAAUCAACACAAUGAUUCAAUCAUUUGGUGGUCAAAACAGAACAGGUGGACUUCCCUUUGUCCUGUUUGCUCUGUCUCCAAGUCCUACACUAAGCAGCAACAUCAUAGCAGAAUUAUUGCUUGCACCUUUGCAUAUUUUGUGAUCUUUUUUCCAUUGGCUUUCUGUGACUUGUUUGCUGAUCAUUAGCAAUUCUUAUUGGAUUAAUUGUUGACGAACAAGCUGCACGGUUAGGUUUUAAUGUUGGAAAUUUAGUUGAGUUCAUUUGUAACUGUUACAUCUGAAAAUAUUUGGUAAAAUCUAGUGGAACGUGAUGGGGAUCCUAAGAUGUAUUCCAGUUUCUGGACCGGACUCUAGUAGGACCUCAUUAUGCUUCCUUAGGAGAAAUGGAAUGGCCACAGGAUAAGCACUAAUGUAUACAUUAACCUAAUUUAACCAUCUGGUUGAGAUUUCUGGGGUUUUAUCACCAAUAUUUAAUCUUAUGUCAUUAGCACCAAAGCUUGCCUUAAAAACAAGGCAUGUGGGAGUGUGUCCGUCUCUUUUUCCUCCAAAUUGGUAAGCAUUCGUUGAAACUUUCCAGCAACACAAAUCAACUUGGAAACAAGAUGCGUGCUCUUGUCAGACCUUGUUUUGAAGCAAAUUGAAGAUUUUGUUUUAAUUGAAUAUAUGGUAUUAGCACAUAGGAGCAUGUGCACACUUGCAAGUUGAGUAGAGCUCCCAUAAAAACCAUGCCGUAGCAGGGUUGUUGUGUGUUUUCCAGGCUAUACAUAUGGCCAUGUUCCAGAAGCAUUCUUCCAAUGCUUCUGUAAUAUGGCCAUACAGCCUGGAAAACACACAACAACCCUGUGAUUCCAGCCAUGAAUACCUUCGACAACACAUGCCGUAGCACUAGUCAACUUGGAAACAAGCUGCAUGCUCUUGCUGAACCUCGUUUUAAAGCCAAAUGGAAGAUACAUAUUUUUAAAAGACCUAAUGCCAUAUUGUGAACAUUCAGCAGAAAGGGGCACAGGCAGCCCAAGAUCCAUGUCUUACUCAUUCCCGCUUGGAUAAACGCCAUGGGAAGGCACCAGUAACUGCUCAGUGGUUUUGUUCCCAUUGUCCUUGUUUGUAUUGCACGUAUACUGUACCAUGCAGAGCAUUUGUGUCACCCUGAAACGCAUGUCCAAAAUGGAUAAACCAAGCUGUUACUGGUUGAAAAAUCAGUCUGUAUUUGAGUCCAACCAAAUGAGCUAGUGAUGAAACACCAUCACAUAACAUGGGAAUGAAAUUGCUACUUUAAAGGAAUAGUAGAUACUUUGAGCUUUUUGACGAAGCUUAUUGAUCACUGAAUAAUUUGGCUUUCUUCUUGGAGCCUAUUUUUGUUAACUGAAAUCCUUAAUAACCAUUCCAUACCAGACAGCUGGACUGUCUUCAAUUGGUCAUUUUAAACCAAUUGGUAUUGGAUUGCGAUUAUGGGUUGUAAUAGCUUGGUCUAUACAUUGUAUUAAGAAUGCCAUUUUAGAUGGAUCGCCAUGAAAAAUGUUUAGUUUAUUGACAUAUCUAACCGUAUUGAUGUUUCCCCUUUCUAAUGAUGGCCUUGGUGAACUGUUGGUCCCCUACUUCCAGGUGCCACAGGUUAGCUCAUUAACUCUAGAGUCAUAACUUUGCAUGGACUUGGAUGUACUACUUGGAAGGAGAAAAUAAAUGUCUUGUUUUCAAAGGCUGUAUAUGCCAAGCCAUUAAUCUUACAUAGAUUCAUCUCUAGUCACUGAAAACAUUCAAUAUAACCAGUGCUUCCCAACCUGUGCUCCGUAGACCACCAGUGGUCUGCAAGAAUUAAAAUGUGGUCCGCAGCCUACACUGUUGCAAUGAGAGCAACUGGUCUCAUGAAACCCUCUUAUAGUGCUGAGGCUUAUUAAAUAUGUUUUUUUGUGGGUGAGCAGAUGGCCAUUACUGGAUGGCAUAUGUUCUGUAUCAGAAACUAGAGCUGAUGUGGUUUAUCCAAUGCAGUUUUCUGAAUCAGCACCCCAGAUAACCAAACCAAAUCUAAAGUUGGCCAAAAACUGAUUCAUAGGACUUUUGGUACUAAUGUUGGAGAAUGGUCCCGGUCAAAGAAAGGUUGGGAACUACUGAGUAUAACCAAAUGCAUGAUAUGGCAGUGUAGAUGGGAUCUUACUUAGGAGUGAGUCUUCUGAAGUGCAUUCGAGCUUAAAGUAGACCUGCAGAGGAUUGCACUGUAAGAAGGGCUUUCCUUCUCACCUCAAAGCGUUUGUUCUGAUUUAGUGAUCGUUUUUGUUUCUCUACUAAUGUAAGGUUACUUAAGCUAAUUAUAAGAUUUUCCAUACCCUUCCAGAGAAUAGGAGUGACUUGGCAUAUGCAACUGUGUUGUGUGGAUUGAAACACAGAUUUGAAAGUUUGCUAUGAUGUCUUUUAAAGACAAAAAGACAUAGAAUCAUAGACUUGGAAGAGACCUCAUGGCCAUCCAGUCCAACCCCCUGCCAAGAAGCAGGAAAAUCACAUUCACAACUUCAAGGGGAGAGGAAUAGUUUAAAAUUAAGACAUUGCAUCGAUUCUGCAGUCAUCUGUAGUUCAAUAAAUUCACAGUUUAGUGGUAGAUAAGAAGAAAGAAAAAUGAAGACCACACUCAUUCUUAAAAUGUCCUUCAUAAUCCGCAGUGUUGAUGCAACAUUGGACCUUUCCUUAUUUGAAGUCAUAGCAAACGUUUCUAUCUGUUUUAUCAUAGACUGUUCAUGCUAGUCUCACCUUUUGUUUACCAAUGUAGUGUGCUAAUGUAGGCAUAUCAUUAGCCAAGGAUGUAAAGGAAAGACAGAAAGAGAGAUUUAAAAAGUGUGUGUAUGUUUAACUUAACGUUGCAUGGAAUUGUAAUAUUUCUGAAACAUUUCACUGACACGUUCUAUGCAGAGGACAUGAGAAAUGCUUCGCUUUACCUGACCACUGCCCCAGAGCAAGCAUUGCAUUCAAAUUCAAAGAAUUUUAGAACCUUAGAGUUGGAAAGGACUGCAGGAGCCAUGAAGUCCCAACUUCGUGGCUCUUGCAGGAAUAUACUGAAAGUUGUCCAUCCAACUUCUGUUGAAAGACCUCCAAAGAAAGAGUCCACCAGAUUCAGUUGCAGUCUAUCCUACUGUCAAUAAUAAUAAUAAUAAUAAUAAUAAUAAUAAUAAUAAUAAUAAUAAUAAUAAUAAUAUACUUAUUAUUAAUAAUAUACUUAUAAUAAUAAUAUAUGAAAUCCAGCAUAUCUAUCUUGUUUGCUGUGUCAUAAUAAAAAUAUACUUUAUUUAUAUUCUGCUCUAUCUCCCCGGGGGGACUCAGUGUGGAUUACAGAACACAUAUACGACAAAUAUUCAAUGCCAUUAUACAAUCAACAAGGACAGACAAUACAUAAACAGAGAUAAAGGCUUUUCCCAUCUUUCCCAUUUCCAGCAUCUGGAGGCUAUGCUGGACUCCGGCCACGGGGGAGUGUGCUGUCGCCUCAUCUUCUGUACUGAGGAGCUUUGUCAUCCUUAGAUAUCCUCCCGAUUGAAUUACCAGGAUGUCCUUAUGGGUGCCUUUUAUUAUCUUCCCGCUUAAAGCGGUACUUAUUUCUCUACUCACAUUUCUGUUUUCGAUCUGCUAGGUGGGCAGGUAGUUGGGGCUGAUGGCGGGUGCUCACCCCAACCCAGGCUUGAACUGCUAACCUUUUGAUCAGUAGGAUUUUCUGCAACUUAGCCAUUUAACCCACUUUGCCAAGCUCGGCCCCAACAGUCUUCACAGCCUGAUGUUUAGGUGGAUUUUUUAAAUUGUAAUUUGAAUCCAUUGGUUUGUGUUCUAGUGUCCAGAGCAGCAGAAAACAGGCUUUCUCCAUCUUCUCCUUGAAAUCAUUUCAGUUAUUUAAAGAUAGCUAUCAUGUUUCAAUCUUCUCUUCUUUUUUCCAUACUGAAUAUUUCUGGACACUUCCCUUCUCUAAUUGCGGUGCCCAGAACGAGACACAAUAUUCCUCCAAGAGAAAUCCAAGCAACAUCAAGAAGUCUCUCGAUCUGGAAAUUACACUUUGGUUAAACCAGCCUAGAAUUGCAUUGGACUUUUGGCUGAUGAAUCAUUCUUAACAGCAACAACAUUUCUAUCGAUGUAUAUUGCACGAAGGUUCCUCAUGCAGCAGUGUCAGUGAAAUGGUCCCAGUUAGUACCUGCCUUUUGUUUCACAUGGAAUUAACGAAUAGUAACCC